This 600-nucleotide ribosomal RNA is filed under the name uncultured bacterium. Its description in RNAcentral is "bacterial SSU rRNA". The stretch from base 1 to 516 matches the Rfam family "Bacterial small subunit ribosomal RNA", at positions 338 to 873 of the family's 1533-position model. The record is from RNAcentral.
CCUACGGGAGGCAGCAGUGGGGAAUCUUGCGCAAUGGGCGAAAGCCUGACGCAGCCAUGCCGCGUGUAUGAUGAAGGUCUUAGGAUUGUAAAAUACUUUCACCGGGGACGAUAAUGACGGUACCCGGAGAAGAAGCCCCGGCUAACUUCGUGCCAGCAGCCGCGGUAAUACGAAGGGGGCUAGCGUUGCUCGGAAUUACUGGGCGUAAAGGGAGCGUAGGCGGACAGUUUAGUCAGAGGUGAAAGCCCAGGGCUCAACCUUGGAAUUGCCUUUGAUACUGACUGUCUUGAGUGUGGGAGAGGUGAGUGGAACUCCGAGUGUAGAGGUGAAAUUCGUAGAUAUUCGGAAGAACACCAGUGGCGAAGGCGACUCACUGGCCCAUUACUGACGCUGAGGCUCGAAAGCGUGGGGAGCAAACAGGAUUAGAUACCCUGGUAGUCCACGCCGUAAACGAUGAGUGNUAGUGUCGCAUGCAUGCAUGUCGGUGACGCAGCUACGACAUAAGUACACUCCGCCGUCGGGAGGUACGGUCGCGAAGAAUUAAACUAACAAUAGAAGUAGACGGCGUGAGACGUGACGAGACGACGACGAGGGAGGAGG